UAAAGGUCCUUUUCUACUAGAUCUCCACAUUUUUGGCUUUGAACCCAAGGGCAAAAAAAAUAUUAAUUGGGAUUGUCCCCAUGGGUCAACUACUACAAUCAUGCAUAUAAAUACAAAUACAAUAUAACUACUGCCUACCUCCUACUAUUACUUAACCAUCCAUUCUUAAAUGCAUACAAAACGGACACAAACUACUAAUCUCAGAUAUGUAUAGAUCAUCAUUGUCUCUUUGUCAUUCUAGAUGAAAUUCUGAGCUACUGGGACUAAGAAGUUAUUAACAAUUCAAC
This 287-nucleotide long non-coding RNA is filed under the name Elaeis guineensis (African oil palm). RNAcentral's name for it is "long non-coding RNA (EGUI_LNC012429)". The record is from RNAcentral. Lineage: Eukaryota; Viridiplantae; Streptophyta; Magnoliopsida; Arecales; Arecaceae.